RNAcentral lists this ribosomal RNA (627 nucleotides) under Nostoc sp. 'Nephroma bellum cyanobiont'. RNAcentral's name for it is "bacterial SSU rRNA". It matches the Rfam family "Bacterial small subunit ribosomal RNA", at positions 112 to 770 of the family's 1533-position model. Lineage: Bacteria; Bacillati; Cyanobacteriota; Cyanophyceae; Nostocales; Nostocaceae. The record is from RNAcentral. RNAcentral also lists the same sequence under 1 other name.
AACGCGUGAGAAUCUAGCUUUAGGUCUGGGACAACCACUGGAAACGGUGGCUAAUACCGGAUGUGCCCUGAGGGGUGAAAGGUUAACUGCCUGAAGAUGAGCUCGCGUCUGAUUAGCUAGUUGGUGUGGUAAGAGCGCACCAAGGCGACGAUCAGUAGCUGGUCUGAGAGGACGAUCAGCCACACUGGGACUGAGACACGGCCCAGACUCCUACGGGAGGCAGCAGUGGGGAAUUUUCCGCAAUGGGCGAAAGCCUGACGGAGCAAUACCGCGUGAGGGAGGAAGGCUCUUGGGUCGUAAACCUCUUUUCUCAGGGAAGAACACAAUGACGGUACCUGAGGAAUAAGCAUCGGCUAACUCCGUGCCAGCAGCCGCGGUAAUACGGAGGAUGCAAGCGUUAUCCGGAAUGAUUGGGCGUAAAGCGUCCGCAGGUGGCUAUGUAAGUCUGCUGUUAAAGAGUCUAGCUCAACUAGAUAAGAGCAGUGGAAACUACAAGGCUAGAGUGCGUUCGGGGCAGAGGGAAUUCCUGGUGUAGCGGUGAAAUGCGUAGAGAUCAGGAAGAACACCGGUGGCGAAGGCGCUCUGCUAGGCCGCAACUGACACUGAGGGACGAAAGCUAGGGGAGCG